This 64-nucleotide transfer RNA is filed under the name Procapritermes martyni. RNAcentral describes it as "tRNA-His". It matches the Rfam family "tRNA". Rfam says of the family: Transfer RNA (tRNA) molecules are approximately 80 nucleotides in length. Their secondary structure includes four short double-helical elements and three loops (D, anti-codon, and T loops). Further hydrogen bonds mediate the characteristic L-shaped molecular structure. tRNAs have two regions of fundamental functional importance: the anti-codon, which is responsible for specific mRNA codon recognition, and the 3' end, to which the tRNAs corresponding amino acid is attached (by aminoacyl-tRNA synthetases). tRNAs cope with the degeneracy of the genetic code in two manners: having more than one tRNA (with a specific anti-codon) for a particular amino acid; and 'wobble' base-pairing, i.e. permitting non-standard base-pairing at the 3rd anti-codon position. The record is from RNAcentral. Lineage: Eukaryota; Metazoa; Arthropoda; Insecta; Blattodea; Termitidae.
AUCUAAAUAGUUUAAUUGAAAAUGUUGGUUUGUGGUGCCAAUGAUAUAGUUUUUAUUUUGGAUU